CCCUUAGAUGUUCUGGGCCGCACGCGCGCUACGCUGAUGCAUUCAACGAGUCUAAAACCUGCUCUGAUAGGGGUGGGUAAUCUUUUGAAUGUGCAUCGUGAUUGGGAUAGAUGAUUGCAAUUUUUCAUCUUCAACGAGGAAUGCCUAGUAAACGCAAGUCAUCAGCUUGCAUUGAUUACGUCCCUGCCCUUUGUACACACCGCCCGUCGCUCCUACCGAUUGAAUGAUCCGAUGAAUAUCAUGGAUUGAGGAUGCAAGUAGGUUCGCCUAUCUUCAUCUUCGAGAAGUGAAGUAAAUCUUAUCAUUUAGAGGAAGGAGAAGUCGUAACA
Molecule: ribosomal RNA, 329 nt
Filed under: uncultured eukaryote
Lineage: Eukaryota
Description: partial 18S ribosomal RNA
Rfam family: Eukaryotic small subunit ribosomal RNA
Source: RNAcentral